AUUGACAGGUGUAGAGAUACACUCUCCUUCGGGCAAUGGAUACAGGUGGUGCAUGGUUGUCGUCAGCUCGUGCCGUGAGGUGUUGGGUUAAGUCCCGCAACGAGCGCAACCCUCAUUGUUAGUUACUACCAUUCAGUUGAGGACUCUAAUGAGACUGCCAACGACAAGUUGGAGGAAGGUGGGGAUGACGUCAAAUCAUCAUGCCCUUUAUGACCUGGGCUACAAACGUACUACAAUGGCCAAUACAAAGAGAUGCGAAGCGGUGACGUGAAGCGAACCUCAGAAAGUUGGUCUCAGUUCAGAUUGAAGUCUGCAACUCGACUUCAUGAAGGCGGAAUCGCUAGUAAUCGCGGGUCAGCAGACCGCGGUGAAUACGUUCCCGGGUUUU
This 388-nucleotide ribosomal RNA is filed under the name uncultured Mollicutes bacterium. Its description in RNAcentral is "bacterial SSU rRNA". It matches the Rfam family "Bacterial small subunit ribosomal RNA", at positions 990 to 1382 of the family's 1533-position model. Lineage: Bacteria; Bacillati; Mycoplasmatota; Mollicutes. The record is from RNAcentral.